GAUUAACGCUAGCGGCAGGCCUAAUACAUGCAAGUCGAACGGUAACAGGUGUAGCGAUACAUGCUGACGAGUGGCGCACGGGUGCGUAACACGUAUGCAACCUACCUAUAACCGGGGAAUAGCCUUCCGAAAGGAAGAUUAACACCGCAUAACAUCACGAAACGGCAUCGUUUUGUGAUCAAACCUCCGGGGGCUAUAGAUGGGCAUGCGUAACAUUAGCUAGUUGGUGAGGUAAUGGCUCACCAAGGCUACGAUGUUUAGGGGGUCUGAGAGGAUGAUCCCCCACACUGGUACUGAGACACGGACCAGACUCCUACGGGAGGCAGCAGUAAGGAAUAUUGGACAAUGGGGGCAACCCUGAUCCAGCCAUGCCGCGUGAAGGAUGAAGGCCCUCUGGGUUGUAAACUUCUUUUGUACGGGAAUAAACCCCUUUACGUGUAGAGGGUUGAAUGUACCGUAAGAAUAAGGAUCGGCUAACUUCGUGCCAGCAGCAGCCGCGG
This 500-nucleotide ribosomal RNA is filed under the name uncultured bacterium. RNAcentral describes it as "partial 16S ribosomal RNA". It matches the Rfam family "Bacterial small subunit ribosomal RNA", at positions 28 to 523 of the family's 1533-position model. The record is from RNAcentral.